RNAcentral lists this ribosomal RNA (461 nucleotides) under uncultured bacterium. RNAcentral describes it as "partial 16S ribosomal RNA". It matches the Rfam family "Bacterial small subunit ribosomal RNA", at positions 28 to 506 of the family's 1533-position model. The record is from RNAcentral.
GACGAACGCUGGCGGCGUGCUUAACACAUGCAAGUCGAACGGUGAAACUCUUCGGAGGGGAUCAGUGGCGAACGGGUGAGUAACACGUGGGCAACCUGCCCCCGGCUCUGGGAUAACUCCAAGAAAUUGGGCAAACACAGGAAGUACACCGCAUUCCGCAUGGGUGGAGGUGUAAAGGGUUUACGGCGGGGGAUGGGCCCGCGGCCGAUCAGCCUGCUGGUGGGGUAGUGGCCGACCAAGGCGACGACGGGUAGCCGGCCUGAGAGGGUGACCGGCCACACUGGGACUCAGGCACGGCCCAGACUCCUUCGUGAGGCAGCAGUGGGGAAUAUUGCGCAAUGGGCGGAGGCCUGACUCAUCGACUCCGCGUGGUAGAUGACGGCCUUCGGGUUGGAAACUACUUUCAGCAGGGACGACGCGCAAGUGACGGUACCUGCAGAAGAAGCACCGGCCAACUACGU